Molecule: small nuclear RNA, 19 nt
Filed under: Arabidopsis thaliana (thale cress)
Lineage: Eukaryota; Viridiplantae; Streptophyta; Magnoliopsida; Brassicales; Brassicaceae
Description: snRNA_04698
Source: RNAcentral
AGCUGAGAAGUACAGGUCA